GACGAACGCUGGCGGCGUGCCUAAUACAUGCAAGUCGAGCGGACGGAUGGGAGCUUGCUCCCAGACCGUCAGCGGCGGACGGGUGAGUAACACGUGGGCAACCUGCCUGUAAGACUGGGAUAACUCCGGGAAACCGGGGCUGAUACCGGAUAACUCUUUCCCUCACAUGAGGGAAAGCUGAAAGAUGGCAUCUCGCUAUCACUUACAGAUGGGCCCGCGGCGCAUUAGCUAGUUGGUGAGGUAACGGCUCACCAAGGCGACGAUGCGUAGCCGACCUGAGAGGGUGAUCGGCCACACUGGGACUGAGACACGGCCCAGACUCCUACGGGAGGCAGCAGUAGGGAAUCUUCCGCAAUGGACGAAAGUCUGACGGAGCAACGCCGCGUGAGUGAUGAAGGUUUUCGGAUCGUAAAACUCUGUUGUCAGGGAAGAACAAGUACCGGAGUAACUGCCGGUACCUUGACGGUACCUGACCAGAAAGCCACGGCUAACUACGUG
Molecule: ribosomal RNA, 498 nt
Filed under: uncultured bacterium
Lineage: Bacteria
Description: partial 16S ribosomal RNA
Rfam family: Bacterial small subunit ribosomal RNA
Source: RNAcentral